GACGAACGCUGGCGGCGUGCUUAACACAUGCAAGUCGAACGGAAAGGCCCUGCUUUUGUGGGGUGCUCGAGUGGCGAACGGGUGAGUAACACGUGAGUAACCUGCCCUUGACUUUGGGAUAACUUCAGGAAACUGGGGCUAAUACCGGAUAGGAGCUCCUGCUGCAUGGCGGGGGUUGGAAAGUUUCGGCGGUUGGGGAUGGACUCGCGGCUUAUCAGCUUGUUGGUGGGGUAGUGGCUUACCAAGGCUUUGACGGGUAGCCGGCCUGAGAGGGUGACCGGCAAAAUUGGGACUGAGAUACGGCCCAGACUCCUACGGGAGGAAGCAGUGGGGAAUAUUGCACAAUGGGCGGAAGCCUGAUGAAGCAACGCCGCGUGCGGGAUGACGGCCUUCGGGUUGUAAACCGCUUUCGCCUGUGACGAAGCGUGAGUGACGGUAAUGGGUAAAGAAGCACCGGCUAACUACGU
This 467-nucleotide ribosomal RNA is filed under the name uncultured bacterium. RNAcentral describes it as "partial 16S ribosomal RNA". It matches the Rfam family "Bacterial small subunit ribosomal RNA", at positions 28 to 506 of the family's 1533-position model. The record is from RNAcentral.